CAAUGAUUGGGAUAUAAACCCAGGCAUUCGAGCCGGCAAUGGCAACCCCCUUUGGGUCCCCUCCCAUUUUAUGGGAGCUCUGUUUUCACUCUAUUAGAUCUUGCAACUGCACAUUCUUCUGUUCUGUGUUUGUUACGGCUCGAGCUGAGCUUUCACUUGCCGUCCACCACUGCUGAAUGCCACCAUCGCAGACUCGCUGCUGACUUCCACCUGUCCAGGUCCGGCAGGGUGUCGGCUGUGCUCCUGAUCCAGUGAGGCGCCCAUUGCCACCCCCCAUCAAGCUAAAGGCUCGCCAUUAUUCCUGCACAGCUAAGUGCCCAGGUUCAUGCUAAUCAAGCUGAACACUAGUCGCUGGGUUCCACAGUUCUCUUCCAUGACCCACGGCUUCUAAGAGAGCUAUAACACUCACAGCAUGGCCCAAGAUUCCAUUCCUUGGAAUCAGUGAGGCCAAGAACCCCAGGUCAGAGAACAAAAGGCUUGCUGCCAUCUUGAGAGUGGAUGCCACAAUCUUGGGAGGUCUAAGAACAAGGACCCCCCCCAGUAACAUUUUGGUGAUCAUGAAGGGACCUCCAAAGUGUUUGUCUCUUCCAGAACUGAAGCUGUAAAACUACAAAUCGUUCUUCAAAUAGAGCCUCAGAUGCAGUCCAUGACUAAGAUCCACCACAGACCCCUGGAUCGGCCUGCUAGCCCAUGCUCCAAUGUUGAUGACAUUGAAGACACCCCUCCUGAGGAAAUCUCAACUGCACAACCCCUACUAUGCCCCAGUUCAGCAGGAAGCAGUUACAGUGGUCGUCGGCCAACCUCCCCAACAGCACUUGGGUUUUCCUGUUGAGAGGGGGGACUGAGAGAUAGGACUAGCUGGAUUUCCUAGGCCGACUAAGAACCCCUAAGCUUAGCUGGGAAGGUGACCGCAUCCACCUUUAAACACGGGGCUUGCAACUUAGCUCACACCCACCCCGUCAGGUAGUAAAGAGAGCUCACUAAAAUGCUAAUUAGGCUAAAAUAGGAAGUAAAGAAAUAGCCAAUCAUCUAUCACCUGAGAGCACAGGGGGAGGGACAAUGAUCGGGAUACAAACCCAGGCAUUCGAGCCGGCAACGGCAACGGCAACUCCCUUUGGGUCCCCUCCCAUUUUAUGGGAGCUCUGUUUUCACUCUAUGAAAUCUUCCAACUGCACACUCUUCUGCUCUGUGUUUGUUACAGCUCGAGCUGAGCUUUUGCUUGCCAUCCACCACUGCUGCUUGCUGCCAUCGCAGGCCCGCCGCUGACUUCCACCCCUCUGGAUCCGGCAGGGUGUCGGCUGUGCUCCUGAUCCGGCGAGGCGCCCAUUGCCGCCCCCGAUCGGGCUAAAGGCUCGGCAUCAUUCCCGCACGGCUAAGUGCCCGGUUCUUCCUAAUCGAGCUGAACACUAGUCACUGGGUUCCACGGUUCUCUUCCGUGACCCACGGCUUCUAAGAGAGCUGUAACACUCACCCCAUGGCCCAAGAUUCCAUUCCUUGGAAUCCGUGAGGCCAAGAACCCCAGGUCAGAGAACAAGAGGCUUGCCGUCAUCUUGGAAACAGCCCACCACCAUCUUGGGAGCUCUAAGCACAAGGACCCCAACCCCACCCCCCCGUAGCAAUAUGACGUAUGACACCACUUAUAUGAGAUGCCCAGAACAGGCAAAUCCACAGAGAUAGGAAGUGAGGCCGGGUGCAGUGGCGCAUGCCUGUGAUCCCUGCACUUUGGGAGGCCAAGGCAGGAGGAUCGCUUGAGCUCAGGAGUUUGAGCCUGCAGUGAGCCAUGCCUGCACCACUGUGCUCCAGCUUGGGAAAAAAAGUGAGGCCCUGUCUAAAAAAGUAAUAAUGAAAAUUAAAAUAAAGUGGUUGUCAGGGCCUGGGGGGCAGCGCUUAAGGAGUGACUGCGAAUGGGUGUGCAAUAUCCUUUUGGGUGAUGAAACGUUUCGGAGCUGGCGUAAGGAGGUGGUUGCACAGCACUGUGCACUGCGGCUGUGUUGUGCACUUCAUAAUGUUUGAUUUUGUGUCAUGUGAGUCUCACUGAAAUAAAAAAGGACGUGAGGAGGGGGAAGAAGGGAAAGGGGAGGACAAGAGCACAAAGGGUGCAUAGGAAGCUUUUGCUAAAGUCACUUUUCCUGAACACCAUUGCCCGGUAGUGUGGGAGUCCCGCCAGCCUCUCCACCAGGCCCGGGUGAGGGUGGGACGGAGGAGGCUGGGAGCUGUGGCCAGUGUGGCCUGAAGACAGUGGGAGACAGGAACUGCUAG
Molecule: long non-coding RNA, 2259 nt
Filed under: Homo sapiens (human)
Lineage: Eukaryota; Metazoa; Chordata; Mammalia; Primates; Hominidae
Description: HSALNT0197699
Source: RNAcentral